AGUUUCCCGUCAAAUCCGACGAUCCAAUCGCCGGGCUGCGGGAAAUACUGCCAAGCUAGGAGGCGGGAGAGGCCGGCAGUACUUUCGGGGUAGGGGUGAAAUCCUAUAAUCCCGGAAGGACUACCAGUGGCGAAGGCGGCCGGCCAGAACGCGCUCGACGGUGAGGGACGAAAGCUGGGGGAGCGAACCGGAUUAGAUACCCGGGUAGUCCCAGCCGUAAACGAUGCGGGCUAAGUGUCGGGAUGGCCAUAGAGCCGUCUCGGUGCUGCAGGGAAGCUGUUAGGCCCGCCGCCUGGGGAGUACGGCCGCAAGGUUGAAACUUAAAGGAAUUGGCGGGGGAGCACCACAAGGGGUGAAGCUUGCGGUUUAAUUGGAGUCAACGCCGGGAACCUCACCGGGGGUGACAGCAGGAUGAAAGCCAGAUUAAAGGUCUUGCUGGACUAGCUGAGAGGAGGUGCAUGGCCGUCGCCAGUUCGUGCCGUGAGGUAUCCCGUUAAGUCGGGCAACGAGCGAGACCCACACCUCUAGUUGCCAGCGGGUAUAGCCGGGCACUCUAGAGGGACCGCCGCCGAUAAGGCGGAGGAAGGAGUGGGCCACGGCAGGUC
Molecule: ribosomal RNA, 605 nt
Filed under: uncultured archaeon
Lineage: Archaea
Description: bacterial SSU rRNA
Rfam family: Archaeal small subunit ribosomal RNA
Source: RNAcentral